Long non-coding RNA from Nilaparvata lugens (brown planthopper), 776 nucleotides. RefSeq lists it as uncharacterized. The transcript has 2 exons. Lineage: Eukaryota; Metazoa; Arthropoda; Insecta; Hemiptera; Delphacidae. The record is from RefSeq and is a predicted model, not a curated record.
AUUCGUACGCAGUCUGUUGAAGGUUCACGCCCAGGUUAUAGCUAAUUUUAGUGAGUGUUCUAGUUGAGAGUACCAGGAUCCCAAUCCUAGUUCUUGUGUAGAUAUUCAAUCAAGUGAUCAACCAUAUACUAAGUUUAUUGUUUGUUAUGUUCAUCGCGCUCUUGAACGCAUCAGUACCCAUAACUCCUAAUAGACGGCUGAUGAGGAGAAGGAAAAAAAGUGAUUACCCAUUUCAAGAACUUUUUGGAUAAUACGUCAUUGCAUGAGAUGAAUUAGAGGACAGGAGUAUACUGAACCUACAAAGGCUGGGUAGAGUUAGAAAUACAUCCAUCAAGGCAAUAACAAAAUCGGACGAUUUACUGAAGACAAUUAAGACUCUGAAGUGGAAGUGGGCAGGUCAUGAUUGGAGGAUUGCAGAUGGACGAAGACUCUAACUUUGUGGAAGCCAAACUGGUGGAAAAGGAAAAUCGGACAGCAACAAUUCAGAUGGGAAGACGACAUUGUAAGAGUGAUUGGGGAUAAGUGGGCGGUGUGUGCUAAAGAUAGAUAGGUGUAGGAACCUGGGAGAUGCCUGUGUCCAAUAGAGGACCUAACAUUUUUGAAUUUGAAAUUGAAUUCUGGACUUUAAAUAAUUCAAAGGAAAAAUGUACAUUUGAAUUCAGUAAUGUCGUAAUAAGUAUAGUUGAGUAUUAUCUUAGCAGAGAUGUUUAAUUUCUCAUAUUCUUUUUUCUUAUUGUAUAGUGUUCAGAACCAAUAAAUGCUUUAUUCAUUAUUUA